CAAGGAAUCUUCCGCAAUGGGCGAAAGCCUGACGGAGCAACGCCGCGUGUGGGAUGACGCCUUUCGGGGUGUAAACCACUUUUCUCAGGGAAGAAGCACUGACGGUACCUGAGGAAGAAGGACCGGCUAACUACGUGCCAGCAGCCGCGGUAAUACGUAGGGUCCGAGCGUUGUCCGGAGUUACUGGGCGUAAAGCGCGCGCAGGCGGCGGUGUAAGCAUGGCGUGAAAGCCCCUGGCUUAACCAGGGAGGGUCGUCGUGGACUGCACCGCUUGAGGGCGGUAGGGGCUGGUGGAAUGCCUGGUGUAGUGGUGAAAUGCGUAGAGAUCAGGCGGAACACCCGUGGCGAAGGCGGCCAGCUGGGCCGUCCCUGACGCUGAGGCGCGAAGGCGUGGGGAGCGAACGGGAUUAGAUACCCCGGUAGUCCACGCAGUAAACGAUGCAGACUAGGCGUGGGGGGAGUUGACCCCCUCCGUGCCGGAGCCAACGCGGGAAGUCUGCCGCCUGGGGAGUACGGCCGCAAGGCUAAAAC
RNAcentral lists this ribosomal RNA (531 nucleotides) under uncultured bacterium. Its description in RNAcentral is "bacterial SSU rRNA". It matches the Rfam family "Bacterial small subunit ribosomal RNA", at positions 355 to 900 of the family's 1533-position model. The record is from RNAcentral.